GGGGACGGAGAAGGCUAUGUUGGCCGGGCGACGGUUGUCCCGGUUUAAGCGUGUAGGCUGGUUUUCCAGGCAAAUCCGGAAAAUCAAGGCUGAGGCGUGAUGACGAGGCACUACGGUGCUGAAGCGACAAAUGCCCUGCUUCCAGGAAAAGCCUCUAAGCAUCAGGUAACAUCAAAUCGUACCCCAAACCGACACAGGUGGUCAGGUAGAGAAUACCAAGGCGCUUGAGAGAACUCGGGUGAAGGAACUAGGCAAAAUGGUGCCGUAACUUCGGGAGAAGGCACGCUGAUAUGUAGGUGAAGCGACUUGCUCGUGGAGCUGAAAUCAGUCGAAGAUACCAGCUGGCUGCAACUGUUUAUUAAAAACACAGCACUGUGCAAACACGAAAGUGGACGUAUACGGUGUGACGCCUGCCCGGUGCCGGAAGGUUAAUUGAUGGGGUUAGCGGUAACGCGAAGCUCUUGAUCGAAGCCCCGGUAAACGGCGGCCGUAACUAUAACGGUCCUAAGGUAGCGAAAUUCCUUGUCGGGUAAGUUCCGACCUGCACGAAUGGCGUAAUGAUGGCCAGGCUGUCUCCACCCGAGACUCAGUGAAAUUGAACUCGCUGUGAAGAUGCAGUGUACCCGCGGCAAGACGGAAAGACCCCGUGAACCUUUACUAUAGCUUGACACUGAACAUUGAGCCUUGAUGUGUAGGAUAGGUGGGAGGCUUUGAAGUGUGGACGCCAGUCUGCAUGGAGCCGACCUUGAAAUACCACCCUUUAAUGUUUGAUGUUCUAACGUGGGCCCCUUACCGGGGUUGCGGACAGUGUCUGGUGGGUAGUUUGACUGGGGCGGUCUCCUCCUAAAGAGUAACGGAGGAGCACGAAGGUUGGCUAAUCCUGGUCGGACAUCAGGAGGUUAGUGCAAUGGCAUAAGCCAGCUUGACUGCGAGCGUGACGGCGCGAGCAGGUGCGAAAGCAGGUCAUAGUGAUCCGGUGGUUCUGAAUGGAAGGGCCAUCGCUCAACGGAUAAAAGGUACUCCGGGGAUAACAGGCUGAUACCGCCCAAGAGUUCAUAUCGACGGCGGUGUUUGGCACCUCGAUGUCGGCUCAUCACAUCCUGGGGCUGAAGUAGGUCCCAAGGGUAUGGCUGUUCGCCAUUUAAAGUGGUACGCGAGCUGGGUUUAGAACGUCGUGAGACAGUUCGGUCCCUAUCUGCCGUGGGCGCUGGAGAACUGAGGGGGGCUGCUCCUAGUACGAGAGGACCGGAGUGGACGCAUCACUGGUGUUCGGGUUGUCAUGCCAAUGGCACUGCCCGGUAGCUAAAUGCGGAAGAGAUAAGUGCUGAAAGCAUCUAAGCACGAAACUUGCCCCGAGAUGAGUUCUCCCUGACUCCUUGAGAGUCCUGAAGGAACGUUGAAGACGACGACGUUGAUAGGCCGGGUGUGUAAGCGCAGCGAUGCGUUGAGCUAACCGGUACUAAUGAACCGUGAGGCUUAACCUUACAACGCCGAAG
RNAcentral lists this ribosomal RNA (1496 nucleotides) under Escherichia coli. RNAcentral describes it as "partial 23S ribosomal RNA". It matches the Rfam family "Bacterial large subunit ribosomal RNA", at positions 1468 to 2925 of the family's 2925-position model. Lineage: Bacteria; Pseudomonadati; Pseudomonadota; Gammaproteobacteria; Enterobacterales; Enterobacteriaceae. RNAcentral also lists the same sequence under 1 other name. The record is from RNAcentral.